AGUGAACGCUGGCGGUAGGCCUAACACAUGCAAGUCGAACGGCAGCACAGUAAGAGCUUGCUCUUACGGGUGGCGAGUGGCGGACGGGUGAGGAAUACAUCGGAAUCUACUUUUUCGUGGGGGAUAACGUAGGUAAACUUACGCUAAUACCGCAUACGACCUACGGGUGAAAGCAGGGGAUCUUCGGACCUUGCGCGAUUGAAUGAGCCGAUGUCGGAUUAGCUAGUUGGCUGGGUAAAGGCCCACCAAGGCGACGAUCCGUAGCUGGUCUGAGAGGAUGAUCAGCCACACUGGAACUGAGACACGGUCCAGACUCCUACGGGAGGCAGCAGUGGGGAAUAUUGGACAAUGGGCGCAAGCCUGAUCCAGCCAUACCGCGUGGGUGAAGAAGGCCUUCGGGUUGUAAAGCCCUUUUGUUGGGAAAGAAAAGCAGCAGGUUAAUACCCCGCUGUUCUGACGGUACCCAAAGAAUAAGCACCGGCUAACUUCGUG
RNAcentral lists this ribosomal RNA (492 nucleotides) under uncultured bacterium. RNAcentral's name for it is "partial 16S ribosomal RNA". It matches the Rfam family "Bacterial small subunit ribosomal RNA", at positions 29 to 507 of the family's 1533-position model. The record is from RNAcentral.